This 3370-nucleotide long non-coding RNA is filed under the name Canis lupus familiaris (dog). RNAcentral describes it as "lncRNA (ENSCAFG00000054364.1)". The record is from RNAcentral. Lineage: Eukaryota; Metazoa; Chordata; Mammalia; Carnivora; Canidae.
UUUUAAUAUACUUAAUUUAAUGAAGUAAUGUAUUGCACAAGUGCAAUCUGAACAAUAAUUCUCUUUUGUGUUAAAAAAUCAUAUUAAGCAAUGCCGAAUACCAUAACUAUAUGUGAAAGCCUUGUGGAUCUAGAAACCAAGAGUAUAUGGAUAUAGCAUACUCUCAAUUUUUAAAAUGGGGCUGUUAUUAUAGGACACAUUUUCUCAUGACAUUGCAUAAGUCUCAUAUCACAAAUAUCCUUUUUGUUAUUUCAGAACCAAAUGUAAGUAUUUGUAAAAUAUAAAAUUAUUUUAAGUCACUGUGAUAAAUUUGAAUUCACCACUAAAGAAUCACAAACCAUUUCUCCAAUAAAUGAUAGAAGAUAACUCCAAACAAUUUUGAAUAAGCGAAUCGUCUGUUGAGCACUAUCUAUUGAAGCAAGGUGUUUAUAUUGGUAUAUGAAGGUAUUCUUUCAAUGAUUUCUGGAUAUAAUUCAAUAUGUAGUCUUCUUCUCUCUGGGCCCCUCAUCUUGGAGCCCUUGGGAGAUGGAUUAUCUGCCUUGUAUGGACUGAAUGUUUGUGUGUUCCCCUCAAAAUGAAUAUGUUGAAUCUCUUACUCCCAGUGUGAUGGUAUUAGGAAGUGAGGCCUUAACAAAGUAAUUAGGUUUCAACUAGGCCAUAAAGGUGGAGCGCCUAUGAUGGGACUAGUGCCCCUAUCAGAAAAAGAGACACUGGAGCUCUCUCUCUUUACCAUAAGAGGAUACAGCAAGAAGGCAGCCAUUUGCAAGCCAGAAAGAGGGUUCUCACCAGAACCCAACCUUGCUGGUAUCCACAUUGGAUGUGUGCUGGACCUCACAGCCUCUAGAAUUGUGGGAAAUAAAUGUUGCUGUUUAAGCCAACAUUUUGUUAUAGCAGCCCCAAACUGACAGGCAUUAUCCCAAAGCCAAUGUUCUCUGUGGGCUGAUACAAUACAAUAAAAAUUGAAUACUUUAAAUAUUGAAGCAAAAUUAUGGCUAAAGCGCUAUAUAGUUUUCACAGCACGAAAAAAUAAUCAACACAAUUGUUAUUAGAGGUCUUGUGUUAUGUUUCUGUUGUUAUUAGAGGUCUUGUGUUAUGUUUCUGUUAUUUGCUACAAGUGAGAUUUCUCCCAUCAGUAGAGUCACUGGUGACCUAGGGUGGCUACCUCAUUGAGUUUUGGUAUGAAUUCAGUGAGUUUCCCCUUGUACAGCAUUGAGUACAGCAUUCAUCCCACAGUAACAGCUCAAUAAAUGUUCAUGAUUUUAUUAUCACUAAAUCAAAAUAAAUGCCAAUUGCACUAACAUUUUUUAGUUCACAUUUUAUUUACAUAGCAUAAAACUCACCUAUUCAGUAAUUCCCCAUAACUGAACUUUUAAAAGACCCUCAUUGUUUAGAAUAGAAGAUAAAUAAGACCUUAAUUCACUUAUUUGCAAAAAAUUUUCACAGCUACUUUUGAUUGACUCCUGGACUUAAGCACGAACAGAAAUGUGUCCUGAAGAGAAUUGUCUUCCCAGUGAAGAUCCAGCCAAAGUUUGCCAACCGCUUAUGACAUUCUAUUUGAAUCUAGUAAUAACUCAUGAACAAGAAUCCACUUUCACAACCCAAGAAAUAUUAUUAGAAUAAAGUUCAUGGGGCCUUAUUGUGUGCCCUAUUUAAUUUCAUAUCCCACUCUGUGCAAGAAAUUCGGAGGGCAUGGGCUAAUGGAAACACAAAGGUCUUGGUCAAAUGGGCGACCAGGCUCCAUUAACUGUUUUUAAAGAUAUCUAAAAUUUUAGGAAGAUGUGGAGGGGGAAUGUGAAAAGCUGUGAUUUCCCUUUAUAACAAUGACAGAGAAAAGAAAACAAUGGACAUAACAGUGAACCUUUGCUCAUUUAACCUUAGCCAAGUGAAAUCAAAUAUAGAAAAUAUGUGUGUGCUAUAGUGAAUGACACAACAAUACUAAUUAAAUUCAAGAGGAUUGAACUGAACAAUCCAGGUCACUUUAAUCAAUUUAGGUCAUUACAGCAAAUGUAUUCUUUCCCGUUAUUUCGCACACUACCACCUAGUAACUACACUCAGCAAUUCAGUCUUACCGUCUAAUUAUAAAAGCUCACAACCUUUGCUUUGGCAGCAAAGGCAAAGAGAGGAAGGUCUUCUCCAAUCCCUCAGAGCGUAGGGAUGUGACAUUUGCCCAUGGGCAUUGUGUUUACAGAGACUUUUCCCCUUUCGACUCUCAUUUCAGUUACAUCAUACAUAAGUGUCCUGAGGUAACUGGACAGUAACAGAAAAUCAAAUGCCAAAUAAAUCUGAACAAGAGCUUAUUCAUUCAAAUACAACCUUGGGAUUUUCACAAGCUAUUUUCCUUCUCUUUAUUCCUUUUUACUUUUAGGGAGACUCCAUGCAGGGCUUGAACUCAUGACCCUGAGAUCAAGACCUGAGCUGAGAUCAAGAGUUGGACGUUUAACUGACUAAGGGGCAACGCAGGCGCCCCUCCUUCUCUUUAUUUCUUUUAAACAACCAUGAAAAGUUGUAACUAUAGGGAGGUAACAAGAUAGCAUAUAAAUUAUAAUCCUGAUUUUGUGAACAAAUAAAAGCAUGCAUACAGAACAUAUCAUAAAUACACAGAGAAAAAGAUUAGAAAUACAUAGACCAAAAUGUUCACAAUGGUUGUCUCUGGGGAGUGGGACUGGAGUGAUCAUUUUCUUCUUUUCAUGCUUUUUUGCCUUUCCUCAAUCCUACAUUGUUGCCCUGAGCCCUCCAUUAUCCAGCCUUGUGUUAACAUGGCAACCAUGGAAAACUUGCUUUUUCAUAUGCUAAGAAAGAUUAACAACUCAUGAUAACCCACAACAACAACCAUCAAAAGUUCACAGAAACUCCUCUGUGCCAGGAGAUGGAGCCUGCCUUGUUCCAUGGCUGCACACUCAAAUCCCAACAUUAUCCUCACACAGACAGGCCUUGUGAGAAGCCUCUUGGGUUUGUUUUCAAGAAAAACAAGAUGUUGGGGAGUAGGAUGGAGUGGGUGGGAAAAUCAGAGGAAGGUGUUCUGAAGGUACAAACUUCCUGUUUAUAAGUACUAGAGAUAUAGUGUGCAACAUGACUGUAGCUACCACUGCUGUGUGGUAUACUUGAAAGUUGCUAAGAGAAAAUCCUAAAAGUUCCCACCACAAGGAAAAAACAUUUUUUGUAACUAUGUGAGGAGACAGCUGUUAACUGAACUUAUUAACAAUGCUGUAAUCACUUUGCCACACAGGUAUUAUACUGUAUACAUCUUAAACUUACACAAAGCUAUAUGUCAAUCUAUCUCAAUUAAACUGAAAAAAAAUAGAAAGUUGAUUCCAUAUGCAUAAAAUGCAUAAAGUUGGUUCUUGCGAAUAAAAAAAAAAAAAAAAAAAAA